Molecule: ribosomal RNA, 406 nt
Filed under: uncultured bacterium
Lineage: Bacteria
Description: partial 16S ribosomal RNA
Rfam family: Bacterial small subunit ribosomal RNA
Source: RNAcentral
AUUGAACGCUGGCGGCAGGCCUAACACAUGCAAGUCGAACGAGUGGCGGACGGGUGAUUAAUGUCUCGGAAACUGCCUGCUGGCGUGGGAUAACUAAUCGAAACGCUAGCUAUUUCCUCCUACCAGCGGAUGUGCCCAGAUCGGAUUAGCUAGUAAGUGGGGUAAAGGCUCACCUAGGCUACGAUCCCUAGAUGGUCUGAGAGGAUGACCAGCCGUACUGGAACUGAGGCACCGGCCAGACGCCUACGUGAGGCAGCAGUGGGGAAUGUUGCCGAAUUGGCACAAGCGUGAUGCUGCCAUGCCGCGUGUAUAGAGAAGGCCUUCGAGUUGUAAAGUACGUUCAGCGGAGAGGCGUUAGCCGAAGAAGAAGCACCGGCUAACUCCGUGCCAGCAGCCGCGGUAAUAC